UACCAGCACCCCGAGUGGUCGGGACGAUUAUUGGGCCUAAAGCAUCCGUAGCCGGUCCUACAAGUCUUCCGUUAUAUCCACCUGCUUAACAGAUGGGCUGCGGAAGAUACUAUAGGGCUAGGAGGCGGGAGAGGCAAGCGGUACUCAGUGGGUAGGGGUAAAAUCCUCUGAUCCAUUGAAGACCACCAGUGGCGAAGGCGGCUUGCCAGAACGCGCUCGACGGUGAGGGAUGAAAGCUGGGGGAGCAAACCGG
This 253-nucleotide ribosomal RNA is filed under the name uncultured bacterium. RNAcentral's name for it is "partial 16S ribosomal RNA". It matches the Rfam family "Archaeal small subunit ribosomal RNA", at positions 474 to 727 of the family's 1478-position model. The record is from RNAcentral.